GUGAGCCAACAUGACCUCCCAAGAGCUUUCCUCCUGCCUUCCCACCACAGGCUUCUCAUUGGUAAUAAGAUUCAUGUUCAAACCUGGAACCUCUCAGGGAAAGGAGUGCUAGGAAGUGGCUCCAAGUCUCAGAUGGGACUCCUGGGGGUGCCACGUUGAUAACAGGUGAUUCAGCAGAAGGACUGACAUUUGUGUGUGUUUACCAAUCUAGGGCUUUACGUACCUGAGUCUGUUUGACUCCUGCAACAAUGUUGAGGAGUAAGAGCUCCUCCAGGUACACAGCUGCUAAGUGGACAAGACAGGACAUGGUCUUCCUGCUUAGUUCCUUCCUGACCACGUGGCAUUGCUAGGGGUUAUCCAUCUGUUUCCUCCUCUAGACUUCAGGUUCCUUGGAGAGGGGAUCUCUCUUAUGCAUCUUUGUAUCUUCAAUGAAGUAGAAUUUUUGUACACCUUAGUAUAGCAUCUGCAUAUGAAAAGAAUUCAAUACUUCUUUUUUUUUUUUUUUUUUUUAUAGACAAGGUCUCAUUCUGUUGCCUAGGCUGGAUGGAGUACAGUGGUGCAACCAUAGCUCACUGCAGCCUCAAACUCCUGGACUCAAUGGGGUCCUCCCACCUCAGCAUCCUGAGUAGCUGGGCCUACAGGUGUGUGCCACCCUGCCUGGCUAAUUUAAUUUUUUCUUUUUUUAGAGAUGGGGUCUCUCUAUGUUGCCCAGGCUGGUAUUGAACUCCUGGCCUCAAGUGAUCCUCUCACCUCAGCUUCCCAAAGUGCUGGAAUUACGGGUGUGAGCCACUGCACUCAGCCAGAAUUUAAUAAAUUUUUUUAAAAUUGAAGUGUUUAGAUCUAGAAACAAAGAGCCAAGAAGAUGCUCACCAAUACAUAUCUUUCUUCUUGUCAUUUAGGUUAUAUGUAUUUUGAAACAGGAAAUCUCGCCAUCCUCACCAAAGCCAUUUCCUUGAGAGGAUUUUAUCUGGUUUGUCUCCUUGACUCCAGGCAGGGCUCCAUUCCAACCAGAUGGAAGAAUGCAGACAUCUCACAUCAUUUACACCCAGAAGGCUGUCAGCAGCAGCGCUCAGGGAGUGAGAGUGUUUAAUCUCGAGGAGGAAAUAGAAUGUAUACACACCCUGCAAACUGAGAUGUUUUACGUUGGCUCUGGCUCCUACCGCCCCCCAUGUGUGGCAGCAGCUACCAAGACUCUACUGUGAAUCCCCAUGACUGAAUAGUUUCAGCAGGAUUGGUACCAUCUCUUCUUUGUACAUCUGAUAGA
RNAcentral lists this long non-coding RNA (1264 nucleotides) under Homo sapiens (human). Its description in RNAcentral is "non-protein coding lnc-SLC24A3-2:4". The record is from RNAcentral. Lineage: Eukaryota; Metazoa; Chordata; Mammalia; Primates; Hominidae.